RNAcentral lists this ribosomal RNA (243 nucleotides) under uncultured bacterium. RNAcentral describes it as "partial 16S ribosomal RNA". It matches the Rfam family "Bacterial small subunit ribosomal RNA", at positions 1 to 244 of the family's 1533-position model. The record is from RNAcentral.
UCAGAGUUUAUCUGGCUCAGGAUGAACGCUAGCGGCAGGCUUAACACAUGCAAGUCGAGGGGCAGCAUAAUGGAUAGCAAUAUCUAUGGUGGCGACCGGCGCACGGGUGCGUAACGCGUAUGCAACCUACCUUUAACAGGGGGAUAACACUGAGAAAUUGGUACUAAUACCCCAUAAUAUCAUAGAAGGCAUCUUUUAUGGUUGAAAAUUCCGAUGGUUAGAGAUGGGCAUGCGUUGUAUUAG